ACAUCGGUGGUUCAGUGGUAGAAUUCUCGCCUUUCAUGUAGGAGACCUGGGCUCAAUUUCCAGCCAAUACA
RNAcentral lists this transfer RNA (71 nucleotides) under Loxodonta africana (African savanna elephant). It matches the Rfam family "tRNA". Rfam says of the family: Transfer RNA (tRNA) molecules are approximately 80 nucleotides in length. Their secondary structure includes four short double-helical elements and three loops (D, anti-codon, and T loops). Lineage: Eukaryota; Metazoa; Chordata; Mammalia; Proboscidea; Elephantidae. The record is from Rfam by way of RNAcentral.